RNAcentral lists this ribosomal RNA (253 nucleotides) under Turicimonas muris. RNAcentral's name for it is "partial 16S ribosomal RNA". It matches the Rfam family "Bacterial small subunit ribosomal RNA", at positions 524 to 776 of the family's 1533-position model. Lineage: Bacteria; Pseudomonadati; Pseudomonadota; Betaproteobacteria; Burkholderiales; Sutterellaceae. The record is from RNAcentral.
UACGUAGGGUGCGAGCGUUAAUCGGAAUUACUGGGCGUAAAGGGUGUGCAGGCGGUUUUGCAAGAUGGAUGUGAAAGCCCCGGGCUUAACCUGGGAAAGCCAUACAUGACUGCAAGGCUAGAGUGCGUCAGAGGGGGGUGGAAUUCCAAGUGUAGCAGUGAAAUGCGUAGAUAUUUGGAAGAACACCGAUGGCGAAGGCAGCCCCCUGGGACGUAACUGACGCUCAUACACGAAAGCGUGGGGAGCAAACAGG